CGAAGCUGGGUGGAAGCAACCGUGGUAUGACAGAGGCGGCGGGCGUUAAUCGGGAGUAUUGGUGGGAAAGGUAGCGUAGGUGGCGAAUUAAGGCAAAUGUGAAAGCCCCGAGCUGAACUUGGGAAUUGCAGUCGAGACUGGUUGGCUAGAGUAUGGGCGAGGAUGGUAGAAAUCCAGGUGUAUCGGGGAAAUGCGUAGAGAGCUGGAGGAAUACCGAUGGCGAAGGCAGCCAUCUGGCCUAAUACUGACACUGAGGUGCGAAAGCAUGGGGAGCAAACAGGAUUAGAUACCCCAGUAGUC
Molecule: ribosomal RNA, 300 nt
Filed under: uncultured Pyrobaculum sp.
Lineage: Archaea; Thermoproteati; Thermoproteota; Thermoprotei; Thermoproteales; Thermoproteaceae
Description: bacterial SSU rRNA
Rfam family: Bacterial small subunit ribosomal RNA
Source: RNAcentral